Cotesia glomerata is the source of this 141-nucleotide long non-coding RNA. RefSeq lists it as uncharacterized. The record is from RefSeq and is a predicted model, not a curated record. The transcript is spliced from 3 exons. Lineage: Eukaryota; Metazoa; Arthropoda; Insecta; Hymenoptera; Braconidae.
CGUAACUACACGGAAAAAAAUAAAAGCAUAUUUCAAGAAACUUAUGGAAUUUUUUUUAUCGAAAGAUAAAUAUAUUAAUAAUUCACCACCAAAAUUUCAGAUCAAUUCACUGCACCGUUUUUGAAUAAUUAAUUUUCAAAA